UGGUCGAACGAGAUGGGAUGGUCAUUACGGAAACUAUCAGGGUAGGCAGUAACAAUGGGCGCAUGUCCAAGCCGUGCGCCGUUCCAAACGUAUAAGAAGACUGGCAACUCCACACAAAGGAGAAAACAGUUUCACCCACAGCGAUUGUAAGAAGUCACUGCCGACAGUGUCAUGAAGAUUUUCUUAGUGAUAACCUUGUUCCUGGCUGGUCUACUUCUUGCCCACGCACAAAGUAGACCACGCAGCCGAUACGACCGCGGAGGAGGCUAUUUAUUCCCACGAAGAGAUGUAGUCUCUGCUGCUGCAAGCUUUGGAUUUCCCGGACGCAGCGGAUACAACCGUUGACUGCGCAAUCGGCUACAUAGAAGCAUGCAGCGUCACCCUGCUUGGUAACUUCAGGAUGCACCUCAGCGUAUCGAAAAGAAUCAAUAAACGAUGAUACAGGUAGA
This 449-nucleotide long non-coding RNA is filed under the name Dermacentor andersoni. RNAcentral describes it as "uncharacterized LOC126530542". Lineage: Eukaryota; Metazoa; Arthropoda; Arachnida; Ixodida; Ixodidae. The record is from RNAcentral.